CAACAAAAAUAUUUUCAAACGGGUUUCCCCCAUAGUGCAGCAUUGAAACAGAGUUACUGUGAAUACAGAAGACUGUCUAUCCCACAGCAGGCAAUGCAAUUAAAGACUUCAGAGAAUGCCAGAUUUUUCAGAAUGCAUCAUAGAAUUUUCAAAGCUGUAAGAAAGAGGUGAGGAUGCUGAGAUGUAGAGAGACUGAUUUGCUCAAGAUAACAAAGAGUUUUAUUGAUUUGGGAACCCAUGGAAGGGGGUCAGCUGUGAGAUAUCACAUGAUCAGACUGACUGCCUGACCAGACUGACUGCCAUCCUGUUAAAGGAAUGAAUCACAGUUCAUCUCGCAGAUUUAUGGCAUGCCUACAGAAAAAGUACCUUAUGAUGCAAACCUGAAAGUUUAAAUAAUCUCCUGAAAGUUCCACAAUCAGCUGCAGAGAACUCCAGGAGCUGUUUUUAAAGAAGAUUAAGUUUUCAGCUUUCCUCCACUGUUUUGGGAAACGUCACCUUCUUAUCUUGGAAGAGUAAUCUCAAAAUUGAAGCAUCUUAGAUCCAACAAGAAUUAAAAGGAUGGGAAGUCCUUGCAGCCAUCCAAUAGAGUCAGAAGACUUUGGAUUUUGGAGUCUGUGAGAUGAUGUACUCACAUCCCAACAAAUUGAAAAUGCUGACCAAUCCCAGCACAGCCAACUCGAAUUUGCUCCUUCAUCAAAGUGACCAGCACCUCAUUUCUUCCUCUUUAGAAUUUAUAGAGUCCUAUGGCUAUUGAUAUCUAACAUCCUGGCUUCACUCACAUGGAUGAGCCCCACCUGGAAUGCCUAGAAGACGUGGGACAGCUGGAUCUCUCUCCACACGGUUUUUCAUUGUUGCCUCAGGUUCCAAUAAAAGCAAAAGCUGCAAGGUCUUCUGAGGCAAAGACUUAGAAAUACCACAAUGUUACUUCUGCUGCAUUCUGUUGAUAAAAGAAUCCCACAAUGCCAGCUUCAUUUAAAGGGGUAAAGAUAUAGAUUAUUCACCUUCGAUGGGAGGAACUGCAAAUGAUGUAAUUAGUGAUAAUUUUUAAUAUACUGUAAUGUAUUGACUUAUCUUUAAAAAAUGAAAAAAUAAACCAAAAACUAAAAGCAAAACAAAACUAUAAUAGAAAACAAUUGCUUCUGGAGGAGGAAUGCAAUGGGGAAAAGGUUAUAGAAACAAAAGCUACAUUUUAUUUGAAUAUACCUGUUUUAGGUUUGACCCUGGUAACAUUUGAUAUUUUACAUAAUUAUAUCAUUAUUUAAAAUUAAAUUUUAAAACACCAAUACCCAUAACAGAAAAGUUUGAUAAAAGAGGUGAAAUAUAAAUAUAAAUAUAUUAAGUUUGCAUUAUAAUCACACAGAGAUGAAUUGUGUCAGUUACUCAAACACAGAUAUUUGACUAUACAACCUUUAUAAGAUAUCCUAAGGACAAAAAAACAUGCAAAAAUAUAUAUUGAACUGUUUUAAAAUUAUAUUUUUUUGCAAUUGAAUUGUUAUUGUGAGACAGGUGUGUACAUAUUUUAAGAUCAAGCAAGUUAGUAAGCUUGUUGACAUUAUUGUAAAUGGGAUUUGUCCCAUGGGGUAAAGAAGAUAUAAUAGCAAGUAGAAGAAAAUAAAUGAAAACCCAUUAAUAUGAGUUUGAAGUUAAAGUAUCAGUAUGAAGUCAUGAAGCAUUUUCCCAACAAAAAGAAAAAAAUAGUUUCCUAGUUCUAAUCACUUAAAAGUAUAUAGAAACAACAUAAAACUCAAUAUCAAGAGGAAAUGUAACUCAGAUGUGCUCUGUAGACAUUUCCCCUAAAAGGAGUUGAAGUUCAUUGCAAACAAGUAUCUAAUUCCAGCUUGGGGUUUGAAUAUUGUACAAGAUGGGCCUGGAAUAUCAAAUUCUCUUACUAAAAAGCAAGGCAGAUUUGAAAGACUAUUAGGAUGCAUCAAAGAGACUCAGAGGAGUCACCCUGAAGAGGUUACCAUUGGCCAAAGGUAAAAAUUUGAGAAUCAAUAAGAAAAUCAAAGGCAGUAGAUUAAAAUGCCUCAAAUAUGCUUAAAUCUAUCUGUUCCUAAUAAUGUUAAUUUAAAAAUAAUGUUGUCAUUGGACAGCUUUGAAGAAUGUUAGGGAUCCAUAAGAAUGUACAGUUUUGAAUUAAAGAGAAGAAUUGAGCAUUUAUCCUGUUUUUCCUUUAUGGAUUAUGUCUAAGGAUAACCAAAUGUUGAUGACAGAAAAUCCUUUUUAAAGAUACCUUUAGCCAAAGAAUGAAGAAAGAAUGAUAGAAUUGAAAUGUUACCAUUUUUGCAACCCCUAAUGAAAUAAUGAAUCUAGCCAGUUGUUAUCAAUUGUUGCUAACAUAAAAAAUGAGAGACAAACAGACACGCCUCUUCAUAGAAGUAUAUGAUACCACCUAUAAAAUAUUACUGCCAGAAAAAAAAAUCAAACUUUGGAUCUAAUUACCAAUUAGAUCAGCCUUUAGCUCUAACAACCAAUUUGCAAUAUUUACAGGAGAUACAGGAGCAUGUUGAAUGACACCAUAAAAAGGCAAUCAGUAAAAUUUAGUUUAUUAUAAACUAUAUAGGAUAAGUGAUCCAGUUGCUGCAAUAAAUAUAUUACAGAAGGUGUGUAUUGGCGGGUGGGAGAUAAAGGAGCAAUCUAUAGAUAAAAACAGACUUAAGGGACAUAAAAACAACUUUAAUGUAUGGAUCUUAUUUGGAUCCUUAAGAAAACAAAUUGUAAAGUAGCAUGAGACAUUUGAAGAAAAUAGAAAUAGUUUUUAAGUGUGGUAAUGAUAUCGUGGUUAUACGUUGUUAAAGAAUGCCUUUAGAGGUAAAUACAGAAAUAUUUGCAGAUGAACUAAAAUGAUGUCUAGAAUUUACAUAAAAGUAAUCCUGUAGGGAGAGUGAAGAAGUGGAAAGAGUGGAUAUUGAUAGGCAAGAGUAGCUAUAAUUUGACCACUGCUGAAUGUUGUUGAUGGAUAAAUGAAAAUGUAUUAUAUAUUUUUUUACUUAUAUAUUUGAAGAUUUUGAUUUUUAAUAAAGUGAAGCUGAGAAAGGGAAAAUCAUUUUUCUUGAUGUCAGGCUUUGAACAGAGAUAAAAGUAAAACCACUGUAGACCAAAGUGGAAAAAUAAAAAGCAAACAUAAACUUUUAUGCUUUCAGCUCUCUAUUACUGGCUUGUAUUUUUUUUUUAAUCUUUAUUUUAAGUUCCAGGGUACAUGU
RNAcentral lists this long non-coding RNA (3203 nucleotides) under Homo sapiens (human). RNAcentral's name for it is "HSALNT0343668". The record is from RNAcentral. Lineage: Eukaryota; Metazoa; Chordata; Mammalia; Primates; Hominidae.